UCAACCCUCAAGCUUAGCUUGUUAUUGGAUGCAAUUUUCAUGCUGAAAACUCAUCCCAAAGACAAUGGCGGCGUCUUUUGACCCUUUAUGCAACGAGCUUUUAAGGCACGCAUUUAAAGUGGUUGUCUGACUCCAGACCCUAAAUACAUAUUUCUAA
This 157-nucleotide unclassified non-coding RNA is filed under the name uncultured Herpotrichiellaceae. RNAcentral's name for it is "sequence contains ITS2". Lineage: Eukaryota; Fungi; Ascomycota; Eurotiomycetes; Chaetothyriales; Herpotrichiellaceae. The record is from RNAcentral.